ACUCACUCCCAAUAAUAUCCACAAUCGAAAUCAAUUAUCUGAGUCUGAAAAAAAUAAAAGAUAGAAGUAAUGAGCUUGAUAGUCUAGUAAGUAAUGAAUAUCUCAACUAGAUAUUUUAGAUAUUAUCAUAGAUACAAUGUUUAAAAAUAAAUACCAUGAAUAACAUAAUAAUAUAUUCCACACUAAGUCAAUGAAAAUCAAAAUUUUUAAUUAUUUAUAUAUAAAUAUAAUCAUAAAUUUGAUUGGAAUAAAAAAUAUAUAUAACUCAACAGCCUUUAACUAUGACCAAUGUUCAGCCCCAUUGAUAGGAUCCACUAAAUAUUAGCGCACAACCCCCACUG
RNAcentral lists this long non-coding RNA (341 nucleotides) under Elaeis guineensis (African oil palm). RNAcentral describes it as "long non-coding RNA (EGUI_LNC003144)". Lineage: Eukaryota; Viridiplantae; Streptophyta; Magnoliopsida; Arecales; Arecaceae. The record is from RNAcentral.